CCAAGGAGUCUAACAUGUGCGCGAGUCAUGGGGUUCUGCGAAACCUAAAGGCGCAAUGAAAGUGAAGGCCAGCCGCAGGGCUGCCUAGGUGGGAUCCCGGCUCCCCCGAGCUGGGCGCACCACCGGCCCGUCUCGAUCGCGCCGUCGACGAGGCGGAGCGAGAGCGUACACGUUGGGACCCGAAAGAUGGUGAACUAUGCCUGAGUAGGAUGAAGCCAGAGGAAACUCUGGUGGAGGUCCGUAGCGAUUCUGACGUGCAAAUCGAUCGUCAAACUUGGGUAUAGGGGCGAAAGACUAAUCGAACCAUCUA
Molecule: ribosomal RNA, 310 nt
Filed under: Alcadia sp. 'dysonia'
Lineage: Eukaryota; Metazoa; Mollusca; Gastropoda; Cycloneritida; Helicinidae
Description: eukaryotic LSU rRNA
Rfam family: Eukaryotic large subunit ribosomal RNA
Source: RNAcentral